RNAcentral lists this long non-coding RNA (975 nucleotides) under Daucus carota (carrot). RNAcentral describes it as "long non-coding RNA (DCAR_LNC003037)". The record is from RNAcentral. Lineage: Eukaryota; Viridiplantae; Streptophyta; Magnoliopsida; Apiales; Apiaceae.
CAACGGAAAAUAAACGAGCUUACUGCUAAAAAAACCAACAACCUUUUCUUUAGUUUGCAAAAUAACCAACAUGGUUUUUAAUUUACAUGUUUAACCAAUGAACUUUAUUAAAUUAUGCAAAUAGUAACCAUGGUUAAGCUAAAAUCUGACACGUCUAUUUUUGCCAAAUCAGUGUUAUGACAUGGCAAGUGACUCCCGCAAAACCACUUGGUUUUAGUAUUCUGAUUUUUUUGACAUGAAUAAUUUCUUGAUACAAAGUGGACAAGCACCAAGUCAUGGUGGUGAAUCUUGGACUCCGAUCCUGCUAUUAUCUGAAGAUAUUUUGUGAUACUUUUGUCAACUUUGCUCGGUACUAAUUUAAAAUUUAAAAUUUAUUUACUGAAUUUAAAGCACUCCUAGCACUAAUUUUUGAUAAUUUAUAGCUCUCUAAAGUCUAAACCUGUUACAAAAAUUAAAAUGAAAUUUAAAAAAUUAAAACGAAAUUUAAAAAAAAUAAGAUGAAAUUAAAAAAAAUGAAAUUAAGAAAAUUAAAAUGAAACUAAAAAAAAUUAAAAUGAAAUUUAAGCUGCAAGAUAACCGGCAAAUUUAUAUACUAUUCAUAUUUAAGUCUGCCACGUGGACUAACUAAUUUAAAGUUGGGUGUGCCACGUCAGCCUUGGUUAACCAUGGUUAAUUUUAUAAUCUUUUUUUCGCAUAAUUUAAUAAAGUUCACUGGUUAAACAAGUGAAUUAAUAACCAUAUUGGUUAUUUUGCAAACUAAAGAAAAAGUCGUUGGUUUUUUUGGCAGUAAGCUCGUACUUAGGCUAUUUGAUUCUCCAACAAAUGAUAUUUAGAAACUUCAAAAUUUAGAAAGAAUUUUUUUUGUGUAUUUGUUCAUACACAGCAUAAUGGUUUGUAUUGCUACAUAUUAAGCAUCUGAUAGUUAGUAAAUCAGCAGAUUGAGCAAAUUGCAAAUUGUUUUGCUUGUUGGUUGGU